AGUGGAAUGCAGCACUUAUAUUUACCGGGGUGCUGUCAGCAAGGAGAGUCAAUUAACAGUUUAACUGGAGCACACGAGUUUAGCAACUAGACGAAUACAAAUGAAUAAUAGAUAAAUUUACACAUCAUAGAUAGACAACUAUAAUAUAAGGUAAGUACAAUGUUCCAAGUACGACAAUUUCGUAUCGCUGGCGAGUCACACGGGCGUGAAGUUGCCAGCUCGGUACAGUCAGCCUGUUAUAUUUGCCGAUCUCCCACCCAAAACCUGUCUCUGGCGCCCAAUAACGAGACUCAGAUAUAGUUAUCACUAAAACCGUUGAUUCCUGAUGUGUUUUGGCAAUGGUUAAGCGUCGAAAACCGGUACAUGCACGAGGGCGAGAUGAUGAAGGCAAGUUAUCCCAGCAUCGUUUCCAGAUUGUCGUACUCGGAGCAUUACAUUUACCAGCUUCUCCCGCAUAAAUAUCACCAGGAAACAUGAAUAAUAAACCAUUUCAACAAUAACUACAAAUAAAUAUCGUUAUUGUGACCCAGGAAACAGUUUUGGGGAUGGAAAUUGGGAAACAUGAGAAACUGAGUACGACAAUCUGGCAACGUUGUACAAUAAUCCCAGCCAUCAGCUGUUCAGUGUUUGUUUACCUCGCGCGGGGGAGAGAGGAAGGGACGCUGUGCUCCGUGCUUCCCUUGUUAUCCCUGCUAUCCACGUGCCCCCCCUUGUUAUCCUCGUGCUCCCGGCCUUGUAGCGGUGCCGUGGCGGGGCGUGUAGGCGUUGACAUCACUCACGGUCAACGGCACUGCCCAUACACUCAGUCCACCCUGGCGGGGACCUCACCAAUGACCUCCAUGAAAACAGGGUCCCAGACAAGCCAGUUGGUCUGAAGGCCGUGGCGCUGACUGACCACAUCAGGGUGUGCUGGCAGCCCCCCACACAGCACAAUGUGCUGCUGUGCGGCUACACCAUUGCCUGGGACCAAGGCGUGGCGGACAUCUACUCCAAGAUCGUGGACAGCAAGCAGCACGGUUACAUCAUUUAUAAGCUGGAACCCAACAUGGAGUUUGUGAUAAGCCUGCGAGCCUUCAACAACGUGGGUGACGGGCAACCGGUGUACCAGCAAGUCCACACCCAGCCAGAGGAGGAGGAGGUGGUGGCACCCACGC
Eriocheir sinensis (Chinese mitten crab) is the source of this 1154-nucleotide long non-coding RNA. RefSeq lists it as uncharacterized. Lineage: Eukaryota; Metazoa; Arthropoda; Malacostraca; Decapoda; Varunidae. The record is from RefSeq and is a predicted model, not a curated record. The transcript has 4 exons.